GUAAAAGUUUCAACAGUUACACCACAGAUAUUUUUAUUGAAGCACUUUUACAAAUCACUUGAAGAACACAACGCGUACGCACGUACACUUUUCACUGGAAUAAGGGGAUGGAUCAAACUAUAUAAAACUGAUCAUCUCUUGCAGGAUUCUCAGGCGUUCAAGCCUUCAUUCUGCGUACACUACAGCUAUAUCCUCAUAGAUUCUAACUGUAGUAGCGACGGCGCAACAGGCCGCUUCCUAUUGGUUAAUCGGAGUUACACUGAAAAACAAGCUCACACUCUCGACCAAUCGUAACAUUCUUGAUACACUAUUAACCGCAUCGGAUAUACAGAUUUUUCCCAGUUGUUGAUUUUGACCAAUGGCAGAAACUUGUCGCGUGACGUCAUAUUGUUAUCGUGGUUGGAUUGGUUAAACGUAGCAGUACGUGCAAUUGGAGAAAAGGAUUCUGCCUUUGAAACAGUAAUUUCCGACGAGCUCUUGAUAAAAUUAUUAAAUUUGACGAUCAAUAUUUUCUACUGUACCAUACGCGAAAAUAUCAUUUAUAUUAGUUCAUAGAAAAUGAUAAUUGAUAUAUUCAUUUCGCACACUAAGCAAAUACUCAAGUUUCGAUUUCGAUAUACUUCUGCAUUAACCUCUAAAAUAUAAAAGCUAACAUUUUUAAUGCUCGAUAUAUAUUAUUGCUGUGUAUAAUGAAUUUACAACUAUCAGAUUAUGAUUACAAUACUAGAAUUUCAUAAAUUUAUAUCUGAAAGAGAUAAAAAUUUGUAAUAAAAUAUUG
Molecule: unclassified non-coding RNA, 778 nt
Filed under: Bombus terrestris (buff-tailed bumblebee)
Lineage: Eukaryota; Metazoa; Arthropoda; Insecta; Hymenoptera; Apidae
Description: misc RNA ENSBTSG00005021424.1
Source: RNAcentral